RNAcentral lists this ribosomal RNA (764 nucleotides) under uncultured bacterium. RNAcentral describes it as "bacterial SSU rRNA". It matches the Rfam family "Bacterial small subunit ribosomal RNA", at positions 107 to 873 of the family's 1533-position model. The record is from RNAcentral.
UGCGUAACGCGUAUGCAACCUACCUGUAACAGGGGGAUAACACUGAGAAAUCGGUACUAAUACCGCAUAACACUAUGAGAGGCAUCUCUUGUGGUUGAAAGUUUCGGCGGUUACAGAUGGGCAUGCGUUGUAUUAGCUGGUUGGUAAGGUAACGGCUUACCAAGGCGACGAUACAUAGGGGGACUGAGAGGUUAACCCCCCACAUUGGUACUGAGACACGGACCAAACUCCUACGGGAGGCAGCAGUGAGGAAUAUUGGUCAAUGGACGGAAGUCUGAACCAGCCAUGCCGCGUGCAGGAAGACGGCUCUAUGAGUUGUAAACUGCUUUUGUACAAGGGUAAACCUGAAUACGUGUAUUCAGCUGAAAGUACUGUACGAAUAAGGAUCGGCUAACUCCGUGCCAGCAGCCGCGGUAAUACGGAGGAUCCAAGCGUUAUCCGGAUUUAUUGGGUUUAAAGGGUGCGUAGGCGGAUUGAUAAGUUAGAGGUGAAAUGUCCGAGCUUAACUCGGGAACUGCCUCUAAUACUGUUGAUCUAGAGAGUAGAUGCGGUAGGCGGAAUGUAUGGUGUAGCGGUGAAAUGCUUAGAGAUCAUACAGAACACCGAUUGCGAAGGCAGCUUACCAAUCUAUAUCUGACGUUGAGGCACGAAAGCGUGGGGAGCAAACAGGAUUAGAUACCCUGGUAGUCCACGCAGUAAACGAUGAUAGCUCGUUGUCGGCGAUACACAGUCGGUGACUAAGAGAAAUCGAUAAGCUAUCCACC